Molecule: ribosomal RNA, 629 nt
Filed under: Salmonella enterica subsp. enterica serovar Indiana
Lineage: Bacteria; Pseudomonadati; Pseudomonadota; Gammaproteobacteria; Enterobacterales; Enterobacteriaceae
Description: partial 23S ribosomal RNA
Rfam family: Bacterial large subunit ribosomal RNA
Source: RNAcentral
GCGAAUACCGGAGAAUGUUAUCACGGGAGACACACGGCGGGUGCUAACGUCCGUCGUGAAGAGGGAAACAACCCAGACCGCCAGCUAAGGUCCCAAAGUCAUGGUUAAGUGGGAAACGAUGUGGGAAGGCCCAGACAGCCAGGAUGUUGGCUUAGAAGCAGCCAUCAUUUAAAGAAAGCGUAAUAGCUCACUGGUCGAGUCGGCCUGCGCGGAAGAUGUAACGGGGCUAAACCAUGCACCGAAGCUGCGGCAGCGAACGUAUCACCCAAGACAACUUUGCGGAGUUGACGAUUGACGGAGCGAAGCGACGUCAAAGCGUUCAUUAAAGUCGAGUUGGCUUAGGGAUACGUUCGUUGGGUAGGGGAGCGUUCUGUAAGCCUGUGAAGGUGUGCUGUGAGGCAUGCUGGAGGUAUCAGAAGUGCGAAUGCUGACAUAAGUAACGAUAAAGCGGGUGAAAAGCCCGCUCGCCGGAAGACCAAGGGUUCCUGUCCAACGUUAAUCGGGGCAGGGUGAGUCGACCCCUAAGGCGAGGCCGAAAGGCGUAGUCGAUGGGAAACGGGUUAAUAUUCCCGUACUUGGUGUUACUGCGAAGGGGGGACGGAGAAGGCUAUGUUGGCCGGGCGACGGUU